RNAcentral lists this long non-coding RNA (475 nucleotides) under Homo sapiens (human). RNAcentral describes it as "HSALNT0388235". Lineage: Eukaryota; Metazoa; Chordata; Mammalia; Primates; Hominidae. The record is from RNAcentral.
UCCUCACAACAGCCCUCUGGGAGGGCAAGUGGAAGAGUGAGUAGAUCAGCUGGAUAGGAGUGAGGAGUUGGAGGAAGGGUUGGGGUAUGGCCAGUGCAGUUAAGUGACUUGCCUUAGUGCACACCCCCAGAAAGUGACAGCACCAGCAUUUGAACCCUGACACAAGCAUCUCCAAAACUGCAUUCUUCCCACUGUGCCACAGUUAAGAUGAGUCCACCAGCCCUGUUUAGGCUGUGUUCUCCGGAAGCAGGUUCUGAUAUGAAGAUUCCUGUGAAAGACAUGCAUUAGGAAACGUUCCCAGGAUAAACCAGGAGAUGUGGGUCUUGGCCAAGAAACUGUUCCAUAUUUGCAUGUCUUGGCUUGGAAUCUGGCUCUUCUGCCAUCUGCCAUGAGAGGAAUGGAGUGGGUAACCACUGGUCCCAGGAGAAUGAGAUCCUUGAAACAGCCCAACCCACAGCCUGGAGCCCAGCCCAUG